GUUUGAUCCUGGCUCAGAUUGAACGCUGGCGGCAUGCCUUACACAUGCAAGUCGAACGGCAGCACGGACUUCGGUCUGGUGGCGAGUGGCGAACGGGUGAGUAAUAUAUCGGAACGUACCCAGUAGUGGGGGAUAACUAUCCGAAAGGAUAGCUAAUACCGCAUACGAUCUAAGGAUGAAAGCAGGGGAUCUUCGGACCUCGUGCUAUUGGAGCGGCCGAUAUCUGAUUAGCUAGUUGGUGAGGUAAAAGCUCACCAAGGCGACGAUCAGUAGCUGGUCUGAGAGGACGACCAGCCACACUGGAACUGAGACACGGUCCAGACUCCUACGGGAGGCAGCAGUGGGGAAUUUUGGACAAUGCAGCGCAAGCCUGAUCCAGCAAUGCCGCGUGAGUGAAGAAGGCCUUCGGGUUGUAAAGCUCUUUUGUCAGGGAAGAAAAGGUGCGCUCUAACAUAGCGUACUGAUGACGGUACCUGAAGAAUAAGCACCGGCUAACUACGUGCCAGCAGCCGCGGUAAUACGUAGGGUGCAAGCGUUAAUCGGAAUUACUGGGCGUAAAGCGUGCGCAGGCGGUUUUAUAAGUCUGAUGUGAAAUCCCCGGGCUCAACCUGGGAACUGCAUUGGAGACUGUAAGGCUAGAGUGUGUCAGAGGGGGGUAGAAUUCCACGUGUAGCAGUGAAAUGCGUAGAUAUGUGGAGGAAUACCGAUGGCGAAAGCAGCCCCCUGGGAUAACACUGACGCUCAUGCACGAAAGCGUGGGGAGCAAACAGGAUUAGAUACCCUGGUAGUCCACGCCCUAAACGAUGUCUACUAGGUGUCGGGACUUAAUUGUCUUGGUAACGCAGCUAACGCGUGAAGUAGACCGCCUGGGGAGUACGGUCGCA
RNAcentral lists this ribosomal RNA (884 nucleotides) under uncultured bacterium. RNAcentral describes it as "bacterial SSU rRNA". It matches the Rfam family "Bacterial small subunit ribosomal RNA", at positions 11 to 890 of the family's 1533-position model. The record is from RNAcentral.